Molecule: ribosomal RNA, 489 nt
Filed under: uncultured bacterium
Lineage: Bacteria
Description: partial 16S ribosomal RNA
Rfam family: Bacterial small subunit ribosomal RNA
Source: RNAcentral
GAUGAACGCUAGCGGCAGGCUUAAUACAUGCAAGUCGUGGGGCAGCAGGACUGUAGCAAUACAGUCGCUGGCGACCGGCAAACGGGUGCGGCACACGUACGCAACUUACCCUGAACUGGGGGAUAGCGCGGGGAAACCCGGAUUAAUACCCCGUAAUAUAAUGGAGUGGCAUCACUUUAUUAUUAAAGCCCCGGCGGUUCGGGAUGGGCGUGCGGCUGCUUAGGUAGUUGGUUGAGGUAACGGCUCACCAAGCCUACGAUCAGUAACUGGUGUGAGAGCACGACCAGUCACACGGGCACUGAGACACGGGCCCGAGUCCUACGGGAGGCAGCAGUAAGGAAUAUUGGGCAAGGGAGGCAACUCUGACCCAGCCAUGCCGCGUGGAGGAUGAAGGCGCGCUGGGUUGUAAACUUCUUUUAUAGGGGACGAAACCUGUGUAUUCUUACGCAGUUGACGGUACCCUAGGAAUAAGCACCGGCUAACUCCGUG